AGCGAACGCUGGCGGCAGGCUUAACACAUGCAAGUCGAACGGUCCUUCGGGAUAGUGGCGGACGGGUGAGUAACACGUGGGAACGUACCCUUAGGUUCGGAACAACACAGGGAAACUUGUGCUAAUACCGGAUAAGCCCUUCGGGGGAAAGAUUUAUCGCCUUUGGAGCGGCCCGCGUCUGAUUAGCUUGUUGGUGAGGUAAUGGCUCACCAAGGCUACGAUCAGUAGCUGGUCUGAGAGGAUGGCCAGCCACACUGGGACUGGGACACGGCCCAGACUCCUACGGGAGGCAGCAGUGGGGAAUCUUGCGCAAUGGGCGAAAGCCUGACGCAGCCAUGCCGCGUGGAUGAUGAAGGUCUUAGGAUUGUAGAAUCCUUUCACCGGGGACGAUAAUGACGGUACCCGGAGAAGAAGCCCCGGCUAACUUCGUGCCAGCCGCCGCCGUAA
RNAcentral lists this ribosomal RNA (447 nucleotides) under uncultured bacterium. RNAcentral describes it as "partial 16S ribosomal RNA". It matches the Rfam family "Bacterial small subunit ribosomal RNA", at positions 29 to 523 of the family's 1533-position model. The record is from RNAcentral.